CCUGGGAACAGGAACACGUGGCUCCUUGAGAGCAGAACUUUCCUGCUUUGCUCCCUUCUGGAUUCGCAACACUAACAUCAUACUUGACAACUGGUAGGCACUCAGGAAGUGUUUCCAUAAGACCUGGAAGACAAGACAUAAUGUGGGGACACAAAGGCAGAUGAAGACUUAUUGCUCAUUCUUCUUUUUUCCACUUCCUGAAAUAGACAGUCCUUCCCUCCUGAUCCAAACCCGAUUCAUUGUGUCAUAUCUAACUAAAAUGGCACCUUUCCUAAGAGUGCUUGUUCUUUGUGACUCCAGGACGUUCUAUCAGCCAUUGUUGUGGAUACCCUUCCCCACACAUUUUAGAGCUCCAAGUACAGCACAGUGAUGGCAUUUCAUGCUCCUUGGAACCUGUGAGGUGGGUGCCACAUCGUCUUCACUUUUUGGAUGUGAAAGCUGAAGCUCAGAGGUCCUGUCACCAGUCUAUGUGUCAAGGUCAUACACAUCAGUUAGUGAACAGCCAGGGUCUGCAGCCUCACUGUCCAGCUUCGGGGGGCUCCACGCGGAAACUCCCUGCAGUUCUCUGUUCUCCGCGGUAACCUCACUCGUGGAUUCCUUUAAGGCCUAUUCUUUUAUCUUCAACUAAAC
This 630-nucleotide long non-coding RNA is filed under the name Homo sapiens (human). RNAcentral describes it as "non-protein coding LINC01427:7". The record is from RNAcentral. Lineage: Eukaryota; Metazoa; Chordata; Mammalia; Primates; Hominidae.